CAGUCGCCACGGUAAUACGAAGGGGGCUAGCGUUGUUCGGAUUUACUGGGCGUAAAGGGCGCGUAGGCGGACUGAUAAGUCAGGGGUGAAAUCCCAAGGCUCAACCUUGGAACUGCCUUUGAUACUGUUUGUCUUGAGUUCGAGAGAGGUAAGUGGAACUGCGAGUGUAGAGGUGAAAUUCGUAGAUAUUCGCAAGAACACCAGUGGCGAAGGCGGCUUACUGGCUCGAAACUGACGCUGAGGCUCGAAAGCCAGGGGAGCGAACGGGAUUAGAUACCCGAGUAGUCCCUGUCUCUUAUAC
Molecule: ribosomal RNA, 301 nt
Filed under: uncultured bacterium
Lineage: Bacteria
Description: partial 16S ribosomal RNA
Rfam family: Bacterial small subunit ribosomal RNA
Source: RNAcentral